GGGGAGAAUCUGUAAAGCUCAGGAGGGAUAGCGCCGUCUCGAGGUGUUUUAAUAUAUCAUCGAUCGAUGGAUGGCGCUAUCUAUCCUGAGUUUCAUGGCUUCUUCUU
RNAcentral lists this microRNA precursor (107 nucleotides) under Corchorus olitorius. RNAcentral describes it as "MIR390 microRNA precursor family". It matches the Rfam family "MIR390 microRNA precursor family". The record is from Rfam by way of RNAcentral. Lineage: Eukaryota; Viridiplantae; Streptophyta; Magnoliopsida; Malvales; Malvaceae.